UACAGAGGUCUCAAGCGUUGUUCGGAUUCAUUGGGCGUAAAGGGUGCGUAGGCUGCGAGGAGGGUGGGGUGUGAAAUCCCUCGGCCUAACCGAGGAAUUGCGCUCCAAACCGCCUUGCUGGAGUGAGACAGAGGUGAGCGGAACUAAUGGUGGAGCGGUGAAAUGCGUUGAUAUCAUUAGGAACACCAGAGGCGAAGGCGGCUCACUGGGUCUCAACUGACGCUGAUGCACGAAAGCUAGGGUAGCGAACGGG
RNAcentral lists this ribosomal RNA (253 nucleotides) under uncultured bacterium. Its description in RNAcentral is "partial 16S ribosomal RNA". It matches the Rfam family "Bacterial small subunit ribosomal RNA", at positions 524 to 776 of the family's 1533-position model. The record is from RNAcentral.